GGUGACUGCGUACCUUUUGUAUAAUGGGUCAGCGACUUAUAUUUAGUAGCAAGGUUAAGUGAAUAACGGAGCCGUAGCGAAAGCGAGUGUUAACUGCGCGUUUAGUUGCUAGGUAUAGACCCGAAACCCGGUGAUCUAGCCAUGAGCAGGUUGAAGGUUGAGUAACAUCAACUGGAGGACCGAACCCACUAACGUUGAAAAGUUAGGGGAUGACUUGUGGCUGGGGGUGAAAGGCCAAUCAAACCGGGAGAUAGCUGGUUCUCCCCGAAAUCUAUUUAGGUAGAGCCUCGGACGAAUUCCAUUGGGGGUAGAGCACUGUUAAGGCUAGGGGGUCAUCCCGACUUACCAACCCUUUGCAAACUCCGAAUACCAAUGAGAACUAUCCGGGAGACACACGGCGGGUGCUAACGUCCGUCGUGGAGAGGGAAACAACCCAGACCGCCAGCUAAGGUCCCAAAAUAUUGCUAAGUGGGAAACGAUGUGGGAAGGCAUAGACAGCUAGGAGGUUGGCUUAGAAGCAGCCACCCUUUAAAGAAAGCGUAAUAGCUCACUAGUCGAGUCGGCCUGCGCGGAAGAUGUAACGGGGCUAAGCAAUAUACCGAAGCUGCGGCAGCAUGUUUACAUGCUGGGUAGGGGAGCGUUGUGUAAGUGGAUGAAGGUGAGUUGUAAAGCUUGCUGGACAUAUCACAAGUGCGAAUGCUGACAUGAGUAACGAUAAUGGGAGUGAAAAACUCCCACGCCGGAAGACCAAGGUUUCCUGUCCCAUGCUAAUCAGGGCAGGGUAAGUCGGCCCCUAAGGCGAGGCAGAAAUGCGUAGUCGAUGGGAAACGGGUUAAUAUUCCCGUACUUAUAUAAUCAGUGAUGGAGGGACGGAGAAGGCUAGGCAAGCUUGGCGUUGGUUGUCCAAGUGAAAGUGAGUAGGCUGAAGACUUAGGUAAAUCCGGGUUUUCAAGGCCGAGACACGAGACGAGCUCCCAAGGGAGUGAAGUUGUUGAUGCCCUGCUUCCAGGAAAAGCUUCUAAACUUAUGAUUAUAUGAACCGUACCCCAAACCGACACAGGUGGUCAGGUAGAGAAUACUAAGGCGCUUGAGAGAACUCGGGUGAAGGAACUCGGCAAAAUUGUACCGUAACUUCGGGAGAAGGUACGCCUCUGUUUGUGAACACUUCGCGUGGUAAGCAAAUGGAGGCCGCAGUGACCAGGUGGCUGGGACUGUUUAUUAAAAACACAGCACUCUGCAAACUCGUAAGAGGACGUAUAGGGUGUGACACCUGCCCGGUGCCGGAAGGUUAAUUGAUGGGGUUAGUUUUCGGACGAAGCUCUUGAUCGAAGCCCCGGUAAACGGCGGCCGUAACUAUAACGGUCCUAAGGUAGCGAAAUUCCUUGUCGGGUAAGUUCCGACCUGCACGAAUGGUGUAACCAUGGCCACGCUGUCUCCACCCGAGACUCAGUGAAAUUGAAAUCGCAGUGAAGAUGCUGUGUACCCGCACCUAGACGGAAAGACCCCGUGAACCUUUACUACAGCUUGGCACUGAACAUUGAACCUACAUGUGUAGGAUAGGUGGGAGGCUUUGAAGCACAGUCGCUAGAUUGUGUGGAGCCGUCCUUGAAAUACCACCCUUGUAUGUUUGAUGUUCUAACAUUGUUCCCUUAUCGGGAAUGUGGACAGUGUCUGGUGGGUAGUUUGACUGGGGCGGUCUCCUCCCAAAUAGUAACGGAGGAGCACGAAGGUUAGCUAAUCACGGUCGGACAUCGUGAGGUUAGUGCAAUGGCAUAAGCUAGCUUAACUGCGAGACAGACACGUCGAGCAGGUACGAAAGUAGGUCAUAGUGAUCCGGUGGUUCUGUAUGGAAGGGCCAUCGCUCAACGGAUAAAAGGUACUCCGGGGAUAACAGGCUGAUACCGCCCAAGAGUUCAUAUCGACGGCGGUGUUUGGCACCUCGAUGUCGGCUCAUCACAUCCUGGGGCUGAAGUCGGUCCCAAGGGUAUGGCUGUUCGCCAUUUAAAGUGGUACGCGAGCUGGGUUUAGAACGUCGUGAGACAGUUCGGUCCCUAUCUGGUGUGGGCGUUGGAUGAUUGAUGGGAGCUGCUCCUAGUACGAGAGGACCGGAGUGGACGAACCGCUGGUGUUCGGGUUGUCAUGCCAAUGGCAUUGCCCGGUAGCUAUGUUCGGAACGGAUAACCGCUGAAAGCAUCUAAGCGGGAAGCCGGCCCAAAGAUGAGUCAUCCCUGACCUUUAAGGUCUGGAAGGGUUGUUAUAGACGAUGACGUUGAUAGGCAGGGUGUGGAAGCGUUGUAAGGCGUUAAGCUAACCUGUACUAAUUGCCCGAGAGGCUUAACCAUACAACGCCCAAGAAGCUUU
Molecule: ribosomal RNA, 2361 nt
Filed under: Alteromonas sp. BZK5
Lineage: Bacteria; Pseudomonadati; Pseudomonadota; Gammaproteobacteria; Alteromonadales; Alteromonadaceae
Description: partial 23S ribosomal RNA
Rfam family: Bacterial large subunit ribosomal RNA
Source: RNAcentral